This is an RNA transcript of Lethenteron reissneri (Far Eastern brook lamprey), 4320 nucleotides long. RefSeq lists it as uncharacterized. The record is from RefSeq and is a predicted model, not a curated record. NCBI's taxonomy places the organism in Eukaryota, Metazoa, Chordata, Hyperoartia, Petromyzontiformes, Petromyzontidae.
UGGAAUACCCAUCCACGACCCAUUUUCAAUGCCCUGGCUGAGGGAAGGAGGUUUUCACCCAAGAUUUGACGGUACAUGGCCCCGUCCAUCGUCCCUUUGAUGCGGUGAAGUUGUCCUGUCCCCUUAGCAGAAAAACACCCCCAAAGCAUAAUGUUUCCACCUCCAUGUUUGACGGUGGGGAUGGUGUUCUUGGGGUCAUAGGCAGCAUUCCUCCUCCUCCAAACACAGGAGUUGAGUUGAUGCCAAAGAGCUCCAUUUUGGUCUCAUCUGACCACAACACUUUCACCCAGUUGUCCUCUGAAUCAUUGACAAACUUCAGACGGGCAUGUAUAUGUGCUUUCUUGAGCAGAGGGAUCUUGCGGGCGCUGCAGGAUUUCAGUCCUUUACGGCGUACUGUGUUACCAACUGUUUUCUUGGUGUCUAUGGUCCCAGUUGCCUUGAGAUAAUUGACAAGAUUCUCCCGUGUAUUUCUGGGCGGAUUCCUCACCGUUCUCAUGAUCAUUGCAACUCCACGAGCAAUUGGAGAGUACAGCCAUGUCUUUAGCUGCAUGCAGUGAGGCAUGGGGCGUCUGCGAGAAUGCCGGCAAUUCACGGAGCAAGACCAGAGGUCGAGCCAUGCUGCCCACGUCUAGAGAGGUGGAGGUGAAUGUGAGUGUGCGCCACAUGUACCUGUACAGCCGCGAGGUGCGUGGGGUGGUGGCACGUCUCCGCGCCGAGUGUGGGUCACUGUCCGUGCACGCAGUUGCCUUGGCCCACACUCAAGGUGAUCUGAACAAGGCCUUGGGACACGUUCGUAAUGAGAAACAGGCAAAUGUGCAAGCUUCUAGCAUGCGAUCGCGACGACCUACACGUGAGGUGUGAUGGGCUGCUGCUGCUGCACCUGUUGACGUUGAUGUCGGGGCAGGCAGAGUCCUCGCUCCGGGUCCCGGUGGCGUUGCUCCGGGGGAACGUGCAGAAGAAGGCGUUGGCCAGGAGGCAGGCGGCCUGCUCCUGAGACAUCGUCAGCAUCAAGCCGGUGUCCCGGCGGAGCAGCGGCAGGGGCUGGGGACACGUGCGGUGCACAGGGCGCAGCGACGUCACACGCGGCAACGGGUGGCACGGGGUUGCAGAGGAGCAACGGCGCAAUGGUAACACUGAUGCAGAGCACUGAGCCUGCAGCACUGGGAUGUUGGGGUCUGGAUCAAGGAGUUCUGAAAUGCACGUAAACCAGAUGAUUGUUGUACACGUGAGGUUAAUGCUGCAGCCCUGUAAUUACUUGCUCAUGCAACUGCUGGUGAAAGAACCUCCACUAGAGGGAGGUCUAGAGUGCCGAUCCUGUGGGUAUGUUUUGGCCAACUUUUCCACACUGACCAUUCGUCUUGAAAGAGGUGGGAGUACUCGCCAUUUAGCCCACUGCACGCGACCCACCGAUGGACUGUGGGUGGACAAAACAGGGAAUUGUAAGAAUCCUGGUCAAUGUUUUCAAGGCCAGGCUGGGAGAUCGAACCGCGACAUUUGAAGUCAAUCGUGACAACCAUCCCACAGUCAUGGCAGCAGCCCUUUUGCAGAAAUAAAAUAAAAUAUUGGAGAGGGCUUCACACAAGAAACAAGAAGAUUUAGUGGUUUGGACGUGGCUCUCCAAUGAGUACAGAUAGGGUACCACAAGUAGCGGUGCAUACUCGGGCGCAAAGAAAUAGAAGCAGAGACAAAGAAUGAGAUAGAUCGAUGCAAUAAAGAAUUGGCAGUGGUGCACCAAGCACGACCCCUUGCUGAGCGCUGCAGCAGCAGCCCCCCCCCCACCCCCGGACCCCUCCCCCACCCUCCACUUCUCACCCUGACGCCACACAACCCGUGGGUAGGCGAUGCCCUCUGGUGGACAAGGCGCGGUACAGGCGGCAGCACGAGACGCCAGCAGCGUUGCGCUGCCAGGGUUACUCACCCGUACACCUCCGUACACUUACACACACCUCUAUACACCUCUAUACACUCACACACACCUACACACUUACAAAGACAAAAAUCCCCCGUAUAGCCUUAACAGACUGUAGAGGCAAGUGCUGUUAGCGAGCACCUAUGAAGGCCGGAACGGUACACGAGGGGGUGGGUGGCCAGCACCACGCCCGACCGCCUUUGUCUCCCCAGUGGCGAUGUUUACACACCGCACCAGGUACUCAUUUAAGGCUGAGUCGACCUAGGGGAGGCCCAGGACCGGUUCAGAUAAUCGUCACUGGUGUUAGCCGUGAGUGGGAAUCGAACCCGGGUCGCCAGGUUCAUAGCGCAGCGCGCUAACUGCUACACUACCGCUCCCCACACACCUACACGCACACACCUCUACACACGUACACACCUACACACACACACCUAUACAACAACAACCGCCAUUCGCCACUAAGUGGCGGUGACGUCACCACGACGCUUGUGCCAGGCCAAGUGCACCUUGAGGCCACGUGAAGUGUCGAACGCCCGCUGGCAGGAGGUCACGGGGCAGGCCCAGCAGGUGCCACGGGUCGACUGACCGAGAUGACCGAGAUGACUGGCUGAUGCACCACCUGUGGCCCCCUACCGUACCAACUUGCUGUGCUUUAGCCACCCGGCGCUCCGCUCGUUGUUGUGAACGUCGCUCCUCAGCCCUCCGUUGUUGUUGGAGGGCGACUGCCUCCAACUGCCCAGUAGCGUCCUUCACGAGCCUCCUCCACUGAGGCCGAUCUUGACACUGCUGGUACCAGUCAUCGGCAAGUCCACUCAGCUCCACGUCCUCCUGUACCACAUCACUCCAUCUCUUCUCUAGCCCGCGCCGCGCCCGUUUAGCCCCCUCGAUUUUAGGCAUGCGGUAGCUGGGCAUGCGUGCUACAUGACCCAGCCAACGCAGCCUUGCCUGCCGGAGGAGCUCACCGAUGGGACUUUGCCCAGAUCUUUCAAGGAUUUGUGAGCUCCUUACACAAUCCAGCCUGGUUAAACCCAGGAUGGAUCGUAGGCAGGCCAGCCUAAAUGUUUCCAACCGACGAAGUUGCUCCAUUAGGGGGGUCCACGUUUCGCAAGCGUAGAGUAGGGAGGGAAUGACCGUGGCCGAGAAGACCUGAAGCUUCGUGCGGAGGUAGCUUCCACACAGCGUUACGCAACCGAUGAAAAGAUAAUGCCGCUCGACUGAUUCGGAGUGAGACCUCUGCUGAUAAACUGGAGCCGGUCAUAAGCACACUGCCCAGGUAUGGGAAACUCUCCACUCUCUCCACAACUGCCCCAUCACCGAUUGGGAGUUGUGGGGGUGGAGUGUCUGAUGGUACAAAAUACCCAGGCAGGUGCUUAGUUUUGGUGGGGCUGAUGGUAAGGCCCCACCUCUUAGUGGCACGCUCCAGUUUCAGCAGCAGCGUCUCCAACUCCUCUUCUGAAUGAGCAGCUAUUACCAAAUCAUCGGCAUACAUAACGUGGUCGAUCAGCCUCCCAUUAUAUCUGUACCAAAUGGAAAUUCCCCCGGUACAGCUAUUGAAGGCUUCACGAACUACGCAGUCGAAAUAGAUGUUAAAUAAUGUGGGAGCCUGAGGACAUCCCUGUCGCACCACAAGGUGUACAGGGGAAGGCUCUGAUUCCCGGCCACGUAGUUUUACCCGGGCCCGCUCACCAUCAUGAAGGUCCUUAAUGAUCGUGAGCAGAGGGUCAGGGACUCCGAAAGCACGAAGAACAACCCAGAGCCCAGGCCUACUGAUGGUAUCAUAGGCCUUGACCAGGUCAAUAAAGCAGAGAUGAAGGUCUUGUUGGAAUUCCCUACACCUCUGCUGUAGCAGACAGACAGAAAAUAUGGCAUCUGUACAGGACCGCCCUUUCCUGAAACCGCAUUGGGGUUCUGCAAGCCUCUCCUCAGCGUGCCGAGCAAGGCAUCCUUCCAAUCCUGCGGUACCCGUCCAGCGGUCCAGACUGUUGUUAUGAUGUCAUAUAGGGCAGUCUGUGCACAAGCGCCACCCUCCCUCAGCAUUUCGCUUGGGAGAUCAUCUCUGCCCGGUGCCUUUCCUGGUCUCAGACUCCGGAUCGCCUUCAGUACUUCCUCAACAGAUGGCACCUCAGCCAGCCACUCACAGGGGGUGACCUCCAAUAUUUGAGGCACCGCAGCCUCAGCAGGGUUAUCCCCACUUUGUGCCAUGAUGUUUUCCUGGCUGAGAGAUUUUCCCUCCCCCAGGACCUCACACACACCUAUAUACACUUACACACACACACCUCUAUACACUCACACACACCUACACACACACACUUCUAUACACUCACACACACCUACACACACACCUCUAGACACUUACACACACCUACACACACACCUUUAUACACACACCUCUAUACACUCACACACACCUA